ACUCCUACGGGAGGCAGCAGUAGGGAAUCUUCCGCAAUGGACGAAAGACUGACGGAGCAACGCCGCGUGAGUGAUGAAGGCUUUCGGGUCGUAAAACUCUGUUGUUAGGGAAGAAUAAGUGCUAGUUGAAUAAGCUGGCACCUUGACGGUACCUAACCAGAAAGCCACGGCUAACUACGUGCCAGCAGCCGCGGUAAU
This 198-nucleotide ribosomal RNA is filed under the name uncultured bacterium. RNAcentral's name for it is "partial 16S ribosomal RNA". It matches the Rfam family "Bacterial small subunit ribosomal RNA", at positions 335 to 524 of the family's 1533-position model. The record is from RNAcentral.